AGCAGCCGCCACGGGAAUACGAAGGGGGCUAGCGUUGUUCGGAAUUACUGGGCGUAAAGCGCACGUAGGCGGAUAUUUAAGUCAGGGGUGAAAUCCCAGAGCUCAACUCUGGAACUGCCUUUGAUACUGGGUCUCUUGAGUAUGGAAGAGGUGAGUGGAAUUCCGAGUGUAGAGGUGAAAUUCGUAGAUAUUCGGAGGAACACCAGUGGCGAAGGCGGCUCACUGGUCCAUUACUGACGCUGAGGUGCGAAAGCGUGGGGAGCAAACAGGAUUAGAUACCCCAGUAGUCCCUGUCUCUUAUAC
This 303-nucleotide ribosomal RNA is filed under the name uncultured bacterium. RNAcentral's name for it is "partial 16S ribosomal RNA". It matches the Rfam family "Bacterial small subunit ribosomal RNA", at positions 507 to 807 of the family's 1533-position model. The record is from RNAcentral.